AUUAGUUUUCUUGAACGCGAUCGAGUGAUCCCAUCACGCAACGUCAGUAGAACAAGCUUCUCUUGCCAAAUCUCGCGGGAACGGAUCAUUCACCGGUUUUAUAACCACACACUACACAGAUUUUGCCGUAGGUACCCGGUUUGAAAAGUGGUGUGAUUUCGGUUCGAACUCGAAAUAAUGAAUUUCAUAAAUAAAACUUUACAGUGUUUAUAAAAUAAAGAGCAAUUUAAGAGAUUUUCUAACAGAGAGUAGAGCGAGCUUGUAUGGAAUGGUUCUCAACAAUCUUCAAGAUGCAGAGAAACAAGAAGAAAAUCCUCCACGACAAUUUCAACAACCCAUGAACGCUAUGGAAAUAAAUGAAAUCAAGUUCGUCAAGCUUUUUAGGCUGAAUAAGCAACUGGUGCUCCAAUUGAUAGAAAAGUUGACGGCCUAUCUUCAAGCAGUAUAGAAAUAUAUCUGAAAACAAUAUAAAAAUAGUAAUUGAGAAACCAGUUCAACAAUAAAUAGAUUUAAUUGAUCAUUAUAAGAAUAAAUGAAUGAAUACAGACAAA
Long non-coding RNA from Dendroctonus ponderosae (mountain pine beetle), 551 nucleotides. RefSeq lists it as uncharacterized. The record is from RefSeq and is a predicted model, not a curated record. The transcript has 2 exons. Lineage: Eukaryota; Metazoa; Arthropoda; Insecta; Coleoptera; Curculionidae.